AUUGAACGCUGGCGGCAGGCCUAACACAUGCAAGUCGAGCGAGUGGCGGACGGGUGAGUAAUGUAUGGGGAUCUGCCUGAUAGAGGGGGAUAACUACUGGAAACGGUGGCUAAUACCGCAUACCAUCGGGUGAACCCAUAUGGGAUUAGCUAGUUGGUGGGGUAAAGGCUCACCAAGGCGACGAUCUCUAGCUGGUCUGAGAGGAUGAUCAGCCACACUGGGACUGAGACACGGCCCAGACUCCUACGGGAGGCAGCAGUGGGGAAUAUUGCGCAAUGGGCGCAAGCCUGAUGCAGCCAUGCCGCGUGUAUGAAGAAGGCCUUAGGGUUGUAAAGUACUUUCAGCAGGGAGGCGUUACCCGCAGAAGAAGCACCGGCUAACUCCGUGCCAGCAGCCGCGGUAAUUC
Molecule: ribosomal RNA, 406 nt
Filed under: uncultured bacterium
Lineage: Bacteria
Description: partial 16S ribosomal RNA
Rfam family: Bacterial small subunit ribosomal RNA
Source: RNAcentral